Molecule: non-coding RNA, 72 nt
Organism: Ochromonadaceae sp. CCMP2298
Lineage: Eukaryota; Synurophyceae; Ochromonadales; Ochromonadaceae
Source: the annotation of a GenBank genome assembly
GCUUUGGUAGUAUAACGGUUAGUAUAAGGCAUUCACACUGCUUAGAUCGGGGUUCGUUUCCCCGCCAGAGUA